Molecule: ribosomal RNA, 754 nt
Filed under: uncultured archaeon
Lineage: Archaea
Description: bacterial SSU rRNA
Rfam family: Archaeal small subunit ribosomal RNA
Source: RNAcentral
AGUCAACAUAACCAAAGGACGUGGAUAAACUCGGGAAACUGAGGCUAAACCGCGAUAGACCAAGAUACCUGGAAUGGUUUUUGAUUAAAAUCUAUAUGGCCUUUGGAUUGGACUGCGACCGAUCAGGCUGUUGGUGAGGUAAUGGCCCACCAAACCUGUAACCGGUACGGGCUCUGAGAGGAGGAGCCCGGAGAUGGGCACUGAGACAAGGGCCCAGGCCCUAUGGGGCGCAGCAGGCGCGAAAUCUCUGCAAUAGGCGAAAGCUUGACAGGGUUACUCUGAGUGGUUCCCGUUAAGGGGAUCUUUUGGCACCUUUAAAAAUGGUGCAGAAUAAGGGGUGGGCAAGUCUGGUGUCAGCCGCCGCGGUAAUACCAGCACCCCGAGUGGUCGGGACGAUUAUUGGGCCUAAAGCAUCCGUAGCCGGUACUGCAAGUCUUCCGUUAAAUCCACCUGCUUAACAGAUGGGCUGCGGAGGAUACUAUGGAGCUAGGAGGCGGGAGAGGCAAGCGGUACUUAGUGGGUAGGGGUAAAAUCCGUUGAUCCAUUGAAGACCACCAGUGGCGAAGGCGGCUUGCCAGAACGCACUCGACGGUGAGGGAUGAAAGCUGGGGGAGCAAACCGGAUUAGAUACCCGGGUAGUCCCAGCUGUAAACGAUGCAGACUCGGUGAUAAAUAGGCUUCGUGCCUAUUCAGUGCCGCAGGGAAGCCGUUAAGUCUGCCGCCUGGGGAGUACGGUCGCAAGACUGAAACUUAA